GAUGAACGCUGGCGGCGUGCCUAAUACAUGCAAGUCGAGCGAACAGACGGGGAGCUUGCUCCUCUGACGUUAGCGGCGGACGGGUGAGUAACACGUGGAUAACCUACCUGUAAGACUGGGAUAACUUCGGGAAACCGGAGCUAAUACCGGAUAAUAUAUUGAACCGCAUGGUUCAAUAGUGAAAGACGGUUUUGCUGUCACUUAUAGCUGGAUCCGCGCCGCAUUAGCUAGUUGGUAAGGUAACGGCUUACCAAGGAGACGAUGCGUAGCCGACCUGAGAGGGUGAUCGGCCACACUGGAACUGAGACACGGUCCAGACUCCUACGGGAGGCAGCAGUAGGGAAUCUUCCGCAAUGGGCGAAAGCCUGACGGAGCAACGCCGCGUGAGUGAUGAAGGUCUUCGGAUCGUAAAACUCUGUUAUUAGGGAAGAACAAAUGUGUAAGUAACUAUGCACGUCUUGACGGUACCUAAUCAGAAAGCCACGGCUAACUACGUG
This 497-nucleotide ribosomal RNA is filed under the name uncultured bacterium. RNAcentral describes it as "partial 16S ribosomal RNA". It matches the Rfam family "Bacterial small subunit ribosomal RNA", at positions 28 to 507 of the family's 1533-position model. The record is from RNAcentral.